Molecule: small nucleolar RNA, 238 nt
Organism: Alexandromys fortis (reed vole)
Lineage: Eukaryota; Metazoa; Chordata; Mammalia; Rodentia; Cricetidae
Product: small nucleolar RNA SNORD17
Exons: 1
Source: RefSeq, a predicted model, not a curated record
GUGAAAUGAUGAUUAUGUUUAUCCAUUCGCUGAGUACGCUGCACUGACCUUCUUCCCAGUCUCAGUUCCUGUUCUGGGAACUUGGGGCUGAGUAGGCUCCAAAUGCCCUGCUGUCUGCAGUGUUCUACUGUGGACUGCUUGUGUGUUGGUAGACUACUACUGUAAGAAUGGCUAGUGUCAGCAGGGAUGGGUCUCUCUGAUUCCAUCUCACCAAGAUGAGUGGUGCAAAUCUGAUCAC